Long non-coding RNA from Pelmatolapia mariae (spotted tilapia), 446 nucleotides. RefSeq lists it as uncharacterized. The record is from RefSeq and is a predicted model, not a curated record. Lineage: Eukaryota; Metazoa; Chordata; Actinopteri; Cichliformes; Cichlidae. The transcript is spliced from 3 exons.
CUCUGAUAGACGUGGGAGGAGGAGCGAGGAUGACAUUUAUAUCAGAUGAAGAGUUCUGACUGUGUCGCAGCUGCACAGACGUCUCAUCGUGUCGUGUUCUGAUUAAUAAUGAACGAGCAGCUGCAGAUGAGAUUCAUGAGGACGUCUUCACAGUUUUUCAGCUCUCAGUCAUGAAGAGGUGUGGACUGAUCCUGCUGCUGCUCUCAGGUUACGUGAUGGUCUGCCAUCUUCAGUCUGAUCAGUUAGUCAGACAGCUCCACCUCGUUGACCUGCAGAAGUCCUGGAACGAUGCUCAGCAAUACUGCAGAGAUGAGUACAUUGACCUCGCCAUCGUUAACAGCUCAGCUCUCAUCCAGGAAGCUCAGAAAAGGGCGGGGAGCACAGAGGCGUGGAUUGGACUCUCCAAGAGCGGCUGGAAAUGGUCUCAAACUGGUCCAGUUCAGUCA